RNAcentral lists this ribosomal RNA (253 nucleotides) under uncultured bacterium. Its description in RNAcentral is "partial 16S ribosomal RNA". It matches the Rfam family "Bacterial small subunit ribosomal RNA", at positions 524 to 776 of the family's 1533-position model. The record is from RNAcentral.
UUCACAGGAGGGAAGCGGUAUCCGGAUUUACUGGGCACAAAGCGUCCGUAGGCGGUUUGACAAGUCUGGGGUUAAAGCCCGGAGCGCAACGCCGGAUCAGCCCUGGAAACUGUCAGACUUGAGCGAGGCAGGGGAUGCGGGAAUUCCCGGUGAAGCGGUGAAAUGCGUAGAUAUCGGGAGGAACACCAGCGGCGCCAGCGCGCAACUGGGCCAUUACUGACACUGUGGGGCUAAAGCUAUGUGAGCGACCGGG